AAAGAAAAAUUGCUUCAAAACCAAAGGGUAAAAGGAUUCAACCCCAAAUGCUACUUCCAAUAUGCCAAGUAAGCAAAACCCAAAGAAAACAAACAACCAAGACCUCCAUUCCCCUAGCCAUUCACGACAAUUACAAGGCUUAAGACAAAGCUUAAAUAGGAAACAUUCCCUUAGUCAAAAGUAGCUCCAUAUGUGCUUGGCCAAAUUGGGUAAAAAUUAAAUGAAGCAUUCUCUCUCCUUACACAACCCCAUUUUCGUUUUUCAUCAACAAACAAACAUCCAAAUUGCUUCUUCCCAUCUCCCAACCGAGAAUGAGCUCAAGAAUUCCAAGGUUCAACAUCAAAAUAACACAAGCACAACAAAACCAAUUUCUACCUUCAUAAGUCCAACUUCACCACUUACUUUUCUUAAACUUUUUGACCAAAACAAAACCAAACCUCUAGCUUCCCUUGCAUAACCGUCCAGCCACCAUUAUCAAACACAAAGUCCAGCUCAAAAUUUGCUUCCCAACAUCAAAAACAAAAUGCUAGAAGAAAAUGGCUCAAGAAUACAAUACCCAUACACCAACUUAAGCCUUUUUCACUACCAAACUUGACAACAACUCCAUUUUCAUCCUCCAAUCCAAGAAAGUCAAAGUAAAAUCGAAAUCACUGCAGCAAAAUGAUGAGAAAACCGAAAUGGACAAUGGGUCUCCCUUCCACCAAAGAAACCACCAUGAAAAAGCAAAGAAGAAACUUCAAACUCAAGCAUUCAACCUUCAAAACGAAAAUCUAAAGAGAGAAAUGGUAAAUCUUCAUUCCAUCAAGCAAGAACAAGCAUUGUUGCACAUAAUAGAAGAAGAAAGACG
This 847-nucleotide long non-coding RNA is filed under the name Vigna radiata. RNAcentral's name for it is "long non-coding RNA (VRAD_LNC013749)". Lineage: Eukaryota; Viridiplantae; Streptophyta; Magnoliopsida; Fabales; Fabaceae. The record is from RNAcentral.